RNAcentral lists this unclassified non-coding RNA (336 nucleotides) under soil metagenome. RNAcentral describes it as "partial contains 5.8S ribosomal RNA, internal transcribed spacer 2, and large subunit ribosomal RNA". The stretch from base 1 to 120 matches the Rfam family "5.8S ribosomal RNA", at positions 35 to 154 of the family's 154-position model. The record is from RNAcentral.
GAUGAAGAACGUAGCGAAAUGCGAUAAGUAGCGUGAAUUGCAGAAUUCAGUGAAUCAUCGAAUCUUUGAACGCACAUUGCGCCCCUUGGUAUUCCAUGGGGCAUGCCUGUUCGAGCGUCAUUUGUACCUUCAAGCUUUGCUUGGUGUUGGGUGUUUGUCUCGCCUUUGCGUGUAGACUCGCCUUAAAAUAAUUGGCAGCCGGCGUAUUGAUUUCGGAGCGCAGUACAUCUCGCGCUUUGCACUCAUAACGACAGCGUCCAAAAGUACAUUUUACACUCUUGACCUCGGAUCAGGUAGGGAUACCCGCUGAACUUAAGCAUAUCAAUAAGCGGAGGA